This 253-nucleotide ribosomal RNA is filed under the name uncultured bacterium. RNAcentral's name for it is "partial 16S ribosomal RNA". It matches the Rfam family "Bacterial small subunit ribosomal RNA", at positions 524 to 776 of the family's 1533-position model. The record is from RNAcentral.
GACGAACCGUACAAACGUUAUCCGGAAUCACUGGGCUUAAAGGGUGCGUAGGCUGUCCGGUAAGUUGGGUGUGAAAGCCCUCGGCUCAACCGAGGAAUUGCGCUCAAUACUGCAGGACUUGAGGAAGACAGAGGUGAGCGGAACUUAGGGUGGAGCGGUGAAAUGCGUUGAUAUCCUAAGGAACACCUGGGGCGAAAGCGGCUCACUGGGUCUUCUCUGACGCUGAGGCACGAAAGCUAGGGUAGCGAACGGG